RNAcentral lists this ribosomal RNA (548 nucleotides) under uncultured beta proteobacterium. RNAcentral's name for it is "bacterial SSU rRNA". It matches the Rfam family "Bacterial small subunit ribosomal RNA", at positions 64 to 606 of the family's 1533-position model. Lineage: Bacteria; Pseudomonadati; Pseudomonadota; Betaproteobacteria. The record is from RNAcentral.
GAACGGCAGCACGGGUACUUGUACCUGGUGGCGAGUGGCGAACGGGUGAGUAAUACAUCGGAACGUACCUUAUCGUGGGGGAUAACGCAGCGAAAGCUGUGCUAAUACCGCAUACGCCCUGAGGGGGAAAGCGGGGGAUCGAAAGACCUCGCGCGAUUAGAGCGGCCGAUGCCUGAUUAGCUUGUUGGUGGGGUAAAAGCCCACCAAGGCGACGAUCAGUAGCUGGUCUGAGAGGACGAUCAGCCACACUGGGACUGAGACACGGCCCAGACUCCUACGGGAGGCAGCAGUGGGGAAUUUUGGACAAUGGGGGCAACCCUGAUCCAGCAAUGCCGCGUGAGUGAAGAAGGCCUUCGGGUUGUAAAGCUCUUUUGUCAGGGAAGAAACACCGGCUCUAACACAGUCCGGGAAUGACGGUACCUGAAGAAUAAGCACCGGCUAACUACGUGCCAGCAGCCGCGGUAAUACGUAGGGUGCAAGCGUUUAUCGGAAUUACUGGGCGUAAAGCGUGCGCAGGCGGUUAUACAAGACAGGCGUGAAAUCCCCGG